This 217-nucleotide ribosomal RNA is filed under the name Candidatus Woesearchaeota archaeon. RNAcentral's name for it is "partial 23S ribosomal RNA". It matches the Rfam family "Archaeal large subunit ribosomal RNA", at positions 2752 to 2973 of the family's 2987-position model. Lineage: Archaea; Nanobdellati; Candidatus Woesearchaeota. The record is from RNAcentral.
UACGAGAGGAACGGUGGCUCGAGACCUCUGGUUUAUCGGCUGUCUGGCAAGGCACGCCGAGCAGCUACGUCUUAAUUGAUAAGAGCUGAAAGCAUCUAAGCUCGAAGCAAGCCUCGAAAAGAGACAUCAUAGGCUCGGGUAGAAGACCCGGUUGAUAGGGUUGUGGUGUAAGCACCAAGGCAACAAGGUGUUCAGCCAGCAACUACUAAUCGCCUGU